CGGCCUGGACCGGCUGGACCGGGCGGUGCUGCUGGCGCUGCUCAAGCUGUUCGGCGGCGGCCCGGUCGG
RNAcentral lists this transfer RNA (69 nucleotides) under Streptomyces smaragdinus. RNAcentral's name for it is "Streptomyces sp. RB5 tRNA-Ser". Lineage: Bacteria; Bacillati; Actinomycetota; Actinomycetes; Kitasatosporales; Streptomycetaceae. The record is from RNAcentral.